This is a long non-coding RNA of Biomphalaria glabrata, 1174 nucleotides long. RefSeq lists it as uncharacterized. Lineage: Eukaryota; Metazoa; Mollusca; Gastropoda; Planorbidae. The transcript is spliced from 3 exons. The record is from RefSeq and is a predicted model, not a curated record.
AUGUCAGUGGAAGGGUAUGUUGGGGUGGGGGCUUCUUUUGUGUGAUUUCGGUACGGUACGAGUUUGAAACUAAAAUCUUAUAAGUUUCCUCCCUUUGUGUAGAUAAAUGUGUCUAAACUAUUGGACCUCGGGGAAAUAGAAAUUUUAAAGAAUUUUUAAACAUGUAUGCCACAAGCAGCAUCACAGCAAAACUGGUCACGUCUAAACAGAAUUAAAAAUCUACGACUUUAUUAGUUGGCAAAAGUUUCCAUAGCACCGCCUCACUAGCCUGUCACGUGGGCCAUGACAUCACUUAUCUAUAUUUUCCACAGUUCACUGUUGCAGCUCGGUGCCAAUGUUUUCAUAUAUAUUAUGACGUCCUGGAGAAACGACGUGAGUGAGACAUCAACAUGAGCUAACAUUUGGCUUGAUGUGGACAUAAGUACUUAGAAGUUCUCCAGUGGAUCAAAGUCUUGCGUUCUUUGUAAUGAUUAUAGUUGCUUACCUAACAGGAAAUACACUGUCGUUCUAAGAGGAAUGUUGUCACGUGAUGUGCUUGUCAAGAUCACGUGAGAAAUAGAACUCAACGCUUGUAUUGGGUUCCGUAGCUUUGAGUUUCUACAUUGAAUAGUAAUUAUGUAGCUAAGUGAAUUGGAUUCUACAAUCAUGUAUUCCAUUUCUUCUACUAGAAGUUUCCGGCUGACUGGCUGUUGGACUGAUUCCAUCUUCUUUGAACAUGUGCUAUCACAGACAAUGAAAUACUCUCUAGUCAAAACGUUUUUGCUGGAACAAGACGGAGGUAGAGAGAAGGAGGUUGGGGGGCGCCUUACUCCUGCCUUCUUCCAAUUCUGUUGUAAUACCAGCUGUCCACCAGCUGCCUUGCCAUUGUUUAUCUGCUGCAGGCUUUGUCUUCAGAUUAAAAAAACAAAACUGCCAACUCUCGUGACAAGAAUGUGGGCAUGGCCUUAAAGACAUGUUUGAACCAGAACAAACUUAGUAAUGCCGUACACACAUUUCCUUUGACGUCACUUACACUCUGGACAGAUCCUUUGGGUCUGGAUAAGAAGUAGAUCGUGGCAGAAAUAAGGGAUCUCUCCCCCCCCCCCACUCCCUGGAAUAAGUUGAACUCAAACCACCAAUACCUAAUUAUUAUUAUUAUUCCUGUGAUUCUAACGUUAUUAAAGAGAUCACUUAA